ACGGAAGGCAGCAGCUAAGAAUAUUCCGCAAUGGACGAAAGUCUGACGGAGCGACGCCGCGUGGAUGAUGAAGGCCGGAAGGUUGUAAAAUCCUUUUAUAACUGAGGAAUAAGUAUGGUGAGAGAAACGCCAUAUGGUGACUGUAGGUUAUGAAUAAGCAACGGCUAAUUACGUGCCAGCAGCCGCGGUAAUACGGAGGAUGCGAGCGUUAUCCGGAUUUAUUGGGUUUAAAGGGUGCGCAGGCGGCACGUUAAGUCAGCGGUGAAAUGUCGGGGCUCAACCCGGGCACUGCCGUUGAAACUGGCGAGCUUGAGUACGGAUGAAGUCGGCGGAAUGUGAUGUGUAGCGGUGAAAUGCUUAGAUAUGUCACAGAACACCGAUUGCGAAGGCAGCUGACUAAUCCGCAACUGACGCUCAGGCACGAAAGCGUGGGGAUCGAACAGGAUUAGAUACCCUGGUA
Molecule: ribosomal RNA, 460 nt
Filed under: uncultured Treponema sp.
Lineage: Bacteria; Pseudomonadati; Spirochaetota; Spirochaetia; Treponematales; Treponemataceae
Description: partial 16S ribosomal RNA
Rfam family: Bacterial small subunit ribosomal RNA
Source: RNAcentral